GGAGGAACUGUGGCUCAGUGACAGAUCAUCUGCUUGGCCUGCAUAAGGUCUCAGGUUCAAUUCCUGGUAUCUCCA
This 75-nucleotide transfer RNA is filed under the name Sphaerodactylus townsendi. Its description in RNAcentral is "tRNA-Ala". It matches the Rfam family "tRNA". Rfam says of the family: Transfer RNA (tRNA) molecules are approximately 80 nucleotides in length. Their secondary structure includes four short double-helical elements and three loops (D, anti-codon, and T loops). The record is from RNAcentral. Lineage: Eukaryota; Metazoa; Chordata; Lepidosauria; Squamata; Sphaerodactylidae.